CCUACGGGUGGCAGCAGUCGAGAAUCAUUCACAAUGGGGGAAACCCUGAUGGUGCGACGCCGCGUGGGGGAAUGAAGGUCUUCGGAUUGUAAACCCCUGUUAUGUGGGAGCAAAUUAAAAAGAUAGUACCACAAGAGGAAGAGACGGCUAACUCUGUGCCAGCAGCCGCGGUAAUACAGAGGUCUAAAGCGUUGUUCGGAAUCACGGGGCGUAAAGGGUGCGGAGGCUGUUGCGUAAGUCGUGUGUGAAAGGCGAGGGCUCAACCCGCGGACUGCACAUGAUACUGCGAGACUAGAGUAAUGGAGCGGGAACCGGAAUUCUCGGUGUAGCAGGGAAAUGCGUAGAUAUCGAGAUGAACACUCGUGGCGAAGGCAGGUUCCUGGACAUUAACUGACGCUGAGGCACGAAGGCCAGGGGAGCGAAAGGGAUUAGAUACCCUUGUAGUC
This 446-nucleotide ribosomal RNA is filed under the name uncultured bacterium. RNAcentral describes it as "partial 16S ribosomal RNA". It matches the Rfam family "Bacterial small subunit ribosomal RNA", at positions 338 to 795 of the family's 1533-position model. The record is from RNAcentral.